Carassius gibelio (silver crucian carp) is the source of this 2909-nucleotide long non-coding RNA. RefSeq lists it as uncharacterized. The transcript has 2 exons. NCBI's taxonomy places the organism in Eukaryota, Metazoa, Chordata, Actinopteri, Cypriniformes, Cyprinidae. The record is from RefSeq and is a predicted model, not a curated record.
GACUGUUUCGUGAUUACAAGAACAACAGCAGCAGAUCUUACACUAGUACAUUUAACCCCAGUGACACCCAGUGUGUACAAUGGUCUAAAAGUCUUUCAGUCGCCAAAUGAUUUAGGACAAUCCAUGCUGAAAAAACAGCAAAAACGUCAAAAUGGUGACAAAGCUCCAGUCCAGAUGACCAAGCGUGCUCAGCCUGGAGCUAAUGUUGUGAACGCUUCUGUAAUGACUGGAAACACCUUCACUGGACCGGUCACCUUUUACAGAUAGGCCAGCCAACUUCAGAGAAGGACAACAGAGCAGUCCUGCUUCUCUGCAGGGAAAUAAGGACACUUAUAAUGUUUGUACUAUACCACAUACAUUAAUGUAGAAUCCUAAAAAGAAUUACAAAUGAUAGACAGACAGACAGAUAGACAGAUGAAUACAUUUCAGAAAUGAAUUUUGGGCAGCUUCUGGUGCUUGAGACUUGAUUUAAGAAUGAGAUCCAAGGUUAAGAAUACACUCAAAGUCACAAAAUAUUUUUCUUAUUCAACAACAUUACGAUGUUUGAUCCCUCAUUUAGUAGAUGUGUAUUUUGGGGUACUGUCAUGUCCUUAUACAUUCAUCACAAUGAAACAUCUCCUCGUUUUUCAAACUAAACAUAGUUUUAAAUCUGUCCAAGUGACCUGAUAUUAAAAUAAAUCUCAAUAAAUGAGAAAUUUGCAUCUGAAUUUUACCUAAAUAAUACCUGACGUAGAAGUUACACCUGAGGUCCCAUACGUUUUUAAUGAAUAAGGAAAGUUUUUAAUAAUACAGUGAUGAACCUUGAAACUCAAAUAAUUAAAGUCAACACACAAGAUAGAAAGAGUCAGAUAGGUCCACCUCCAAGCAUUCUUGAAGAAAAAGUACAUGAUAUUAGAUGCAAGGCCUCUUUUAACUUUGCCAUUGUCUUUCUAUCUUUUUUCGUGCCGUAUUUAUCUCUCUCCGGUUUCUGUGUUCGGUUGGAUGUCGUAAAGAACGAGGAUUUGUGUUUUCUGCUCUCGGAGCUACGAACUGUCAAAGAUGGCUGCAAUGCAUUAUCUAUGGGAUUUUGGUCAAGAUUUUCUAAGCUCAGGGAGGGAGGUACGGGUUAGGUUAGGGGUUGGUUCCUAGUCCAAGAUCUAGACCCCUUUAGGAGUCAAGGACUGGUUAUGCACUGGCCAUCCCUCAACUGAGCACUCGUGCCAAAAGCACAGAUUACCCCAUUACGUCCAGUACGAAAGAUAAUGUGGCCUGUUUUUGACAUGAUAAUACAGUGAGAAUUGAGAUCUAAUCAGGGCCAUGAGAACCAGUCAUAGAGGCAUAUGAAUCUUUUUGGCCUUGAGGUGGGGAGCACCUAGUCUAUUUUGUUCUAACAUGUCUGACAAAUUCCAGUUUGGACGGUAUGUCGCAAUCGCCUUCUGUUUUUGUAAAUACUGUGAGGGUGUGAGGAACUUGAACAAUUAUCUUUCAACGCACUACACUGUUCUGCACAUGAGCUACAGAAGAGAUGAUUUUGUGCCUGUGUUAUGAGCUCGAGGCCGUAGGGGUGAAGUAAGACUUCAGGAUCGGGAACACCCACGCUGUCAAAAAGAGUUCCCAUAGCAGCAAAAAACUGAGAUUGUUCUGAACAGAUUCUGAGACCUAGUGAUUGUGGUGGGAUAAUCUCCCUAAAAGCUGUGUUUGGGGUGAAAGCUGUGUUUUGCCCAUCGAAGUGCUCUCACUUUGCAAAUAAAGUUUGCAAUUGAAUUUGAUGUAAUUUUUUGCAAGAUUAAUCUCCAGUAAUUUCAAAGUGUAUUUGUCGGGACUUUUAGCAUUAGGAAAUUAGGAAAGGCUGUUAAUAUUGAUUGUAAAUAAGAGUGCUUCAGGAGGAAUCUUAAGCUGACUGUGUUUACAUAUGACUCUCUCUAUGUAUUUGAGUGAAGGCAGAUCCUCAUUUAUUUUUCCAUUUAUUUUUCUCAUUCAGCGUAGAUAUAUGCACCUUAUUUUUAGAGGGGUCAUGAACUUAGAAAUCAAAUUUGCCUGGAUCUUUAUGCAUAAAACCAGCCAAUGUACUAUAAAAGCACACUAAAAAACUCAUAACCUUCUGGUUAGUUUAAAAAUAUCUUUUAUUGAACCCAAGCUCAGAAUGUGGAGUGUGCUCUUGAUGAUUUAAUAGUGCAGUGAAAGCCCAGCGCUGCAGGAGAAGAUCAACAUCUGCUUCUACAAACCGCAUCUUUAGCCCCGCCCACUGAUACUCACUUAGAAGAGGAAAUACGCUUUCUUCCACACUGUUUAUAGUAUUUAUUAUUGAUUUGGUUUACUAUUAUUUUAACGGUUUAACAUACAACAUAAAAUAACUAUCCUCCAAAAUAAGGUGUAUAAAGUCUGUUUGAUUAUCUUAGUUUCAUCUAGAGUCAGUGGAUGUCAAACGGUUCAGAUCCAUCAUGGAUCACACAUCUGGAGCUGAAGAUUUGUUUCCAGGAUUCAGGUACUAUGAGAAACACAUAUUAAAUAAUCUAUUAUGUUAUAGAAAGAUGUCUGUCAACAGGAAAAAAAUAUUGCUUUCAAUUAGUAUUAAAGGGGAAAAAGAGAACACCAUUGUGCCAUGUUUCACACUGCAAGCGUGACCGAUGCGUGAUAACCAAGUUAUAGCUCAGUGUGUGUCCAUAAUCUCAUAAUCUCAUAAUCUCAUAAUCUCAAAUGUAAAUUACUUGUGAUGAAGCUAGGUUUUUAUUUGUUGGUUUCUAACUAAUCGUGAGACUAAGUAGCCAGUCUUAAUUUAAAUCGUAAUAUUUUUCUCAGAUGCUGUCAAUAUGAUUUAUAGCUUUUUUGUGUCUGAGUUCGUCUUGUGUCCUUGUUUGUCAUUUGUGCCUUGUUGUCUGUUUUUGUAACUGAAGACCUGGAGCAAUAAAAUCAUUAUUUAUUCUACUUUA